Molecule: ribosomal RNA, 270 nt
Filed under: uncultured Staphylococcus sp.
Lineage: Bacteria; Bacillati; Bacillota; Bacilli; Caryophanales; Staphylococcaceae
Description: partial 16S ribosomal RNA
Rfam family: Bacterial small subunit ribosomal RNA
Source: RNAcentral
GUGCCAGCCGCCGCGGUAAUACGUAGGUGGCAAGCGUUAUCCGGAAUUAUUGGGCGUAAAGCGCGCGUAGGCGGUUUGUUAAGUCUGAUGUGAAAGCCCACGGCUCAACCGUGGAGGGUCACUGGAAACUGGAAAACUUGAGUGCAGAAGAGGAAAGUGGAAUUCCAUGUGUAGCGGUGAAAUGCGCAGAGAUAUGGAGGAACACCAGUGACGAAGGCGACUUUCUGGUCUGUAACUGACGCUGAUGUGCGAAAGCGUGGGGAUCAAACA